Bos taurus (domestic cattle) is the source of this 72-nucleotide non-coding RNA. The record is from Rfam. Lineage: Eukaryota; Metazoa; Chordata; Mammalia; Artiodactyla; Bovidae.
UCCCUGGUGGCUCAGAGGGUAAAGCAUCUGCCUGCAAUGCAGGAGAUGUGGGUUCAAUUCCUGGGUCGGGAA